Molecule: transfer RNA, 96 nt
Filed under: Micrococcales bacterium
Lineage: Bacteria; Bacillati; Actinomycetota; Actinomycetes; Micrococcales
Description: tRNA-Sec
Rfam family: Selenocysteine transfer RNA
Source: RNAcentral
GGAGGUGUGUGGGUACCUGGUGGUCCUCCCGGUCUUCAACACCGGCGUGCGGCGGCACCCGUCGCAGGCGGGUUCGAUUCCCGUCCACCUCCGCCA